ACGGGUGAGUAACACGUGAGUAACCUGCCCUUAACUCUGGGAUAAGCCUGGGAAACUGGGUCUAAUACCGGAUAUGACUCCUCAUCGCAUGGUGGGGGGUGGAAAGCUUUUUGUGGUUUUGGAUGGACUCGCGGCCUAUCAGCUUGUUGGUGAGGUAAUGGCUUACCAAGGCGACGACGGGUAGCCGGCCUGAGAGGGUGACCGGCCACACUGGGACUGAGACACGGCCCAGACUCCUACGGGAGGCAGCAGUGGGGAAUAUUGCACAAUGGGCGCAAGCCUGAUGCAGCGACGCCGCGUGAGGGAUGACGGCCUUCGGGUUGUAAACCUCUUUCAGUAGGGAAGAAGCGAAAGUGACGGUACCUGCAGAAGAAGCGCCGGCUAACUACGUGCCAGCAGCCGCGGUAAUACGUAGGGCGCAAGCGUUAUCCGGAAUUAUUGGGCGUAAAGAGCUCGUAGGCGGUUUGUCGCAUCUGCCGUGAAAGUCCGGGGCUCAACUCCGGAUCUGCGGUGGGUACGGGCAGACUAGAGUGAUGUAGGGGAGACUGGAAUUCCUGGUGUAGCGGUGAAAUGCGCAGA
RNAcentral lists this ribosomal RNA (579 nucleotides) under uncultured bacterium. RNAcentral's name for it is "bacterial SSU rRNA". It matches the Rfam family "Bacterial small subunit ribosomal RNA", at positions 102 to 694 of the family's 1533-position model. The record is from RNAcentral.